This 136-nucleotide non-coding RNA is filed under the name Lepisosteus oculatus (spotted gar). RNAcentral describes it as "Eukaryotic large subunit ribosomal RNA". It matches the Rfam family "Eukaryotic large subunit ribosomal RNA", at positions 3017 to 3153 of the family's 3401-position model. The record is from Rfam by way of RNAcentral. Lineage: Eukaryota; Metazoa; Chordata; Actinopteri; Semionotiformes; Lepisosteidae.
CAGUAAUCCUGCUCAGUACGAGAUGAUCCAUGGAUUCAGACAUGUGGUGUCUGGUCUUGUCUGAGGAGCCAGUGAUAUGAAGCUGUGUUCUGUAGGAUUAUGACUGAAUACCUCUGAGUCAGAACCUCCCAGGAAA